AGGGCACCACCAGGAGUGGAGCCUGCGGCUUAAUUUGACUCAACACGGGAAAACUUACCUGGUCCUGACACUAGAAGGAUUGACAGAUUGAUAGCUCUUUCUUGAUUUGGUGGAUGGUGGUGCAUGGCCGUUCUUAGUUGGUGGAGUGAUUUGUCUGGUUAAUUCCGAUAACGAACGAGACUCUAGCCUAUUAAAUAACACGCAGAACCUUGUCUUCUGCGGUGUUUCUUAAUGGGAUCAAGUGUGUUUAACGCUUUGAAACAGAGCAAUAACAGGUCUGUGAUGCCCCUAGAUGUUCGGGGCUGCACGCGCGCUACAUUGAAAGACAAAAUGAGCCUUCUAGUUUUUAAUAAAGCUAGUAAUCUUUGAAUGUUUUUCUUAAUGGGGAUAGGGGAUUGCAAUUGUGCCCCUUGAACGAGGAAUUCCCAGUAAGUGCUAAUCAUUAGUUAGUACUGAUUACGUCCCUGCCCUUUGUACACACCGCCCGUCGCUACUACCGAUUGAAUGGUUUAGUGAGAU
Molecule: ribosomal RNA, 519 nt
Filed under: uncultured eukaryote
Lineage: Eukaryota
Description: SSU rRNA
Rfam family: Eukaryotic small subunit ribosomal RNA
Source: RNAcentral